This is a non-coding RNA of Cicer arietinum (chickpea), 119 nucleotides long. The record is from Rfam. NCBI's taxonomy places the organism in Eukaryota, Viridiplantae, Streptophyta, Magnoliopsida, Fabales, Fabaceae.
AGCCUUGUGAUGAACACAUAGCGAACUAUUCUUUCGCCUUUUACUAAAGAAUACCGUGUGUUCAUCAUAUAAUGAGGCAUCUGUCAAUUUUUGGAAGGGUUUCUUCUUGCUGGAAGGAG